UGUAGGAGUGAGAUAGGGGCUUACUUGAAAAUUUACAAAACAGUCAGUCUUUUUCUCUCUCCUAUG
RNAcentral lists this microRNA precursor (66 nucleotides) under Phlebotomus papatasi. Its description in RNAcentral is "microRNA mir-14". It matches the Rfam family "mir-14 microRNA precursor family". Lineage: Eukaryota; Metazoa; Arthropoda; Insecta; Diptera; Psychodidae. The record is from RNAcentral.